Molecule: ribosomal RNA, 246 nt
Filed under: uncultured bacterium
Lineage: Bacteria
Description: partial small subunit ribosomal RNA
Rfam family: Bacterial small subunit ribosomal RNA
Source: RNAcentral
AGAAUCAACGCUGGCGGCGUGCCUAACACAUGCAAGUCGAACGAGAAAGUGGAGCAAUCCAUGAGUAAAGUGGCGACCGGGUGAGUAACACGUGACUAACCUACCUUCGAGUGGGGGAUAACCUCGGGAAACCGAGGCUAAUACCGCAUAACAUCGUGAGAUCAAAGCAGUAAUGCGCUGGAAGAGGGGGUCGCGGCUGAUUAGCGUAGUUGGCGGGGUAAUGGCCCACCAAGGCGAAGAUCGGUA